This 749-nucleotide long non-coding RNA is filed under the name Homo sapiens (human). Its description in RNAcentral is "non-protein coding lnc-ALPK1-4:1". The record is from RNAcentral. Lineage: Eukaryota; Metazoa; Chordata; Mammalia; Primates; Hominidae.
GGAGUGAGUUGAGUUUUGCAGUAACAACAUUUAAAAAGCAAAGUUUGAGGAGUUGAGUUCAACUUAAGGAGACAAUCUUUGUUUCUUCAGAUAUCAGAAAUGUCAGGCUUUUGUUACUGUCUUUUAGCAGUGCUAUUAUUUUGAAGAUGAUAUUUGUUCUGUGUGGUUUUAAUAUACAGAUGUCCUCUGCCUGAACAGUUCAGUAGAAACUAGGUAUAAAGUACAAGAAGCAAGCAAGAGAGGGUAAGAGAAAAAAAAAUAAAUCUCUUUAUUAUGGUGCAUAAACCUUCAGUGUGAGGGAGCUUUGCAGCUGCACAAGGAGAAAAAUGCAUUCAAAAAUAUAAUGCAAGUGUGAAUAAUCCUUUCUCGAAUGCUGCUUGCAGACUGCUCCAGCUUUGUCAGGUGAACUUGAACCGGGCCAUCAGAUUUGCCCCCAUUCCCAUUGCACACUCUGUCUAUCACCCCAGGGCAUUCACCAUCUUGACUGUUGUUUAAAGAGAACAAGCAAUCCAUCAUUGAGCCAGGGAGUCACUUUCUCAUAGAAAAGUAAAAUCAGCAUGUGACACUACUCAGCCCUAGUGUUUUGCAGAUUAAAAUGAUACAUGGCGACUCACGUGUUACUAGGAGGAUUAAGUUGGUUAUCUUGUUCCAUUGCCCAGACAAAAGAAUUCCCCUCAAGCAGUAAGUGGGAGCUUUACAGAAGCUAAAAUCGUUGGGCUCAACUAUACAGUGGUAAGACAGAGAAUUUA